UUAAGCGACUAAGCGUACACGGUGGAUGCCCUGGCAGUCAGAGGCGAUGAAGGACGUGCUAAUCUGCGAAAAGCGUCGGUAAGGUGAUAUGAACCGUUAUAACCGGCGAUGUCCGAAUGGGGAAACCCAGUGCAAUUCGUUGCACUAUCGUUAACUGAAUACAUAGGUUAACGAGGCGAACCGGGGGAACUGAAACAUCUAAGUACCCCGAGGAAAAGAAAUCAACCGAGAUUCCCCCAGUAGCGGCGAGCGAACGGGGAGCAGCCCAGAGUCUGAAUCAGCUUGUGUGUUAGUGGAACGGUCUGGAAAGUCCGACGGUACAGGGUGAUAGUCCCGUACACCAAAAUGCACAGGCUGUGAACUCGAAGAGUAGGGCGGGACACGUGGUAUCCUGUCUGAAUAUGGGGGGACCAUCCUCCAAGGCUAAAUACUCCUGACUGACCGAUAGUGAACCAGUACCGUGAGGGAAAGGCGAAAAGAACCCCGGCGAGGGGAGUGAAAAAGAACCUGAAACCGUGUACGUACAAGCAGUGGGAGCACCUUCGGGUGUGACUGCGUACCUUUUGUAUAAUGGGUCAGCGACUUAUAUUCUGUAGCAAGGUUAACCGUAUAGGGGAGCCGCAGGGAAACCGAGUCUUAACUGGGCGUUAAGUUGCAGGGUAUAGACCCGAAACCCGGUGAUCUAGCCAUGGGCAGGUUGAAGGUUGGGUAACACUAACUGGAGGACCGAACCGACUAAUGUUGAAAAAUUAGCGGAUGACUUGUGGCUGGGGGUGAAAGGCCAAUCAAACCGGGAGAUAGCUGGUUCUCCCCGAAAGCUAUUUAGGUAGCGCCUCGUGAACUCAUCUUCGGGGGUAGAGCACUGUUUCGGCUAGGGGGUCAUCCCGACUUACCAACCCGAUGCAAACUACGAAUACCGAAGAAUGUUAUCACGGGAGACACACGGCGGGUGCUAACGUCCGUCGUGAAGAGGGAAACAACCCAGACCGCCAGCUAAGGUCCCAAAGUCAUGGUUAAGUGGGAAACGAUGUGGGAAGGCACAGACAGCCAGGAUGUUGGCUUAGAAGCAGCCAUCAUUUAAAGAAAGCGUAAUAGCUCACUGGUCGAGUCGGCCUGCGCGGAAGAUGUAACGGGGCUAAACCAUGCACCGAAGCUGCGGCAGCGACACUAUGUGUUGUUGGGUAGGGGAGCGUUCUGUAAGCCUGCGAAGGUGACCUGUGAGGGUUGCUGGAGGUAUCAGAAGUGCGAAUGCUGACAUAAGUAACGAUAAAGCGGGUGAAAAGCCCGCUCGCCGGAAGACCAAGGGUUCCUGUCCAACGUUAAUCGGGGCAGGGUGAGUCGACCCCUAAGGCGAGGCCGAAAGGCGUAGUCGAUGGGAAACAGGUUAAUAUUCCUGUACUUGGUGUUACUGCGAAGGGGGGACGGAGAAGGCUAUGUUAGCCGGGCGACGGUUGUCCCGGUUUAAGCAUGUAGGCUGAUUAUCCAGGCAAAUCCGGAUAAUCAAGGCUGAGGUGUGAUGACGAGGCACUACGGUGCUGAAGUAACAAAUGCCCUGCUUCCAGGAAAAGCCUCUAAGCAUCAGGUAACAUCAAAUCGUACCCCAAACCGACACAGGUGGUCAGGUAGAGAAUACCAAGGCGCUUGAGAGAACUCGGGUGAAGGAACUAGGCAAAAUGGUGCCGUAACUUCGGGAGAAGGCACGCUGGUGUGUAGGUGAAGCCCCUGCGGGUGGAGCUGAGACCAGUCGAAGAUACCAGCUGGCUGCAACUGUUUAUUAAAAACACAGCACUGUGCAAACACGAAAGUGGACGUAUACGGUGUGACGCCUGCCCGGUGCCGGAAGGUUAAUUGAUGGGGUUAUCCGUAAGGAGAAGCUCUUGAUCGAAGCCCCGGUAAACGGCGGCCGUAACUAUAACGGUCCUAAGGUAGCGAAAUUCCUUGUCGGGUAAGUUCCGACCUGCACGAAUGGCGUAAUGAUGGCCAGGCUGUCUCCACCCGAGACUCAGUGAAAUUGAACUCGCUGUGAAGAUGCAGUGUACCCGCGGCAAGACGGAAAGACCCCGUGAACCUUUACUAUAGCUUGACACUGAACAUUGAGCCUUGAUGUGUAGGAUAGGUGGGAGGCUUUGAAGCGUGGACGCCAGUCUGCGUGGAGCCAACCUUGAAAUACCACCCUUUAAUGUUUGAUGUUCUAACGUUGGCCCCUUACCGGGGUUGCGGACAGUGUCUGGUGGGUAGUUUGACUGGGGCGGUCUCCUCCCAAAGCGUAACGGAGGAGCACGAAGGUUAGCUAAUCCUGGUCGGACAUCAGGAGGUUAGUGCAAUGGCAUAAGCUAGCUUGACUGCGAGCGUGACGGCGCGAGCAGGUGCGAAAGCAGGUCAUAGUGAUCCGGUGGUUCUGAAUGGAAGGGCCAUCGCUCAACGGAUAAAAGGUACUCCGGGGAUAACAGGCUGAUACCGCCCAAGAGUUCAUAUCGACGGCGGUGUUUGGCACCUCGAUGUCGGCUCAUCACAUCCUGGGGCUGAAGUAGGUCCCAAGGGUAUGGCUGUUCGCCAUUUAAAGUGGUACGCGAGCUGGGUUUAGAACGUCGUGAGACAGUUCGGUCCCUAUCUGCCGUGGGCGCUGGAGAAUUGAGGGGGGCUGCUCCUAGUACGAGAGGACCGGAGUGGACGCAUCACUGGUGUUCGGGUUGUCAUGCCAAUGGCACUGCCCGGUAGCUAAAUGCGGAAGAGAUAAGUGCUGAAAGCAUCUAAGCACGAAACUUGCCCCGAGAUGAGUUCUCCCUGAGACUUUAAGUCUCCUGAAGGAACGUUGAAGACGACGACGUUGAUAGGCCGGGUGUGUAAGCGCAGCGAUGCGUUGAGCUAACCGGUACUAAUGAACCGUGAGGCUUAACCU
RNAcentral lists this ribosomal RNA (2899 nucleotides) under Klebsiella quasipneumoniae. Its description in RNAcentral is "23S ribosomal RNA". It matches the Rfam family "Bacterial large subunit ribosomal RNA". Lineage: Bacteria; Pseudomonadati; Pseudomonadota; Gammaproteobacteria; Enterobacterales; Enterobacteriaceae. The record is from RNAcentral.